GACGAACGCUGGCGGCGUGCUUAACACAUGCAAGUCGAACGUGAUUUUUGUAGAAAUUCUUUCGGGAAUGGAAAUGAAAUGAAAGUGGCGAACGGGUGAGUAACACGUGAGCAACCUACCUUACACAGGGGGAUAGCCGUUGGAAACGACGAUUAAUACCGCAUGAGACCACAGAAUCGCAUGAUAUAGGGGUCAAAGAUUUAUCGGUGUAAGAAGGGCUCGCGUCUGAUUAGCUAGUUGGAAGGGUAAAGGCCUACCAAGGCGACGAUCAGUAGCCGGUCUGAGAGGAUGAACGGCCACAUUGGAACUGAGACACGGUCCAAACUCCUACGGGAGGCAGCAGUGGGGAAUAUUGCACAAUGGGGGGAACCCUGAUGCAGCGACGCCGCGUGAGCGAAGAAGGUUUUCGAAUCGUAAAGCUCUGUCCUAUGAGAAGAUAAUGACGGUAUCAUAGGAGGAAGCCCCGGCUAAAUACGUGCCAGCAGCCGCGGUGAUACGUAUGGGGCGAGCGUUGUCCGGAAUUAUUGGGCGUAAAGGGUACGUAGGCGGCCUUUUAAGUCAGGUGUGAAAGCGUGAGGCUUAACCUCAUUAAGCACUUGAAACUGGAAGACUUGAGUGAAGGAGAGGAAAGUGGAAUUCCUAGUGUAGCGGUGAAAUGCGUAGACAUUAGGAGGAAUACCGGUGGCGAAGGCGACUUUCUGGACUUUUACUGACGCUCAGGUACGAAAGCGUGGGGAGCAAACAGG
Molecule: ribosomal RNA, 746 nt
Filed under: uncultured Parvimonas sp.
Lineage: Bacteria; Bacillati; Bacillota; Tissierellia; Tissierellales; Peptoniphilaceae
Description: bacterial SSU rRNA
Rfam family: Bacterial small subunit ribosomal RNA
Source: RNAcentral